AUCCAUGACACAAGGAAAAAGCAUUCGUGAGGACUUACUUUAUUUUCUGGGAGAUUACUAUUACCAAGAACAUAUAGUUGUGAAUACAAAAGGCCAAUCUUUAGAGUACACAAGGACACUUUCCUUUCUGACAUGCAUUGACAUUUCUGGAAACUAUUUACACGGAGAGCUCCCACAUGAAGUAACAAAAUUGGAGGGAUUGGUGAUUUUGAACUUGUCAAGGAAUCACAUCAGUGGUCAAAUUCCUCAGGACAUUUCAAAAUUACGUCAAUUGGCAUCCCUGGAUCUUUCAAGCAAUACGUUUUCAGGUCCACUCCCUCCAAGCAUGGUUUCAAUGUCAUUUUUGGAGUACUUGAACGUAUCAUACAACAACUUCUCAGGUCUGAUCCCUUAUUCAGGUCAAAUGGCAACUUUUGAGGCUUCUUCUUUUGCUGGAAACCCAAGACUUUGUGGUGCUCCUCUUGUUGUUGAGUGUUUUGUUUCCGAUCCCCCUGUUUCAGGAGUCAUUAGGGAGAUUGACAAUGGUUACGCUGUUGACAAGUGGUUUUACCUUGCCAUUGGGUUGGGAUUCGCAGUCGGUUUGUUGAUUCCUUAUCUAAUUA
Molecule: unclassified non-coding RNA, 602 nt
Filed under: Hevea brasiliensis (rubber tree)
Lineage: Eukaryota; Viridiplantae; Streptophyta; Magnoliopsida; Malpighiales; Euphorbiaceae
Source: RNAcentral